AUGUUGACGAGGCAAGGGCACAGAAAACACACCGAACGACACAUCACAACCAGAAUCACAUCAGAAUCACAAUCAGAAUCACACCAGAACCACAAUCAGAAUCACAACCAGAAUCACAAUCAGAAUCACACCAGAAUCACAUCAGAAUCACAUCAGAAUCACAAUCAGAAUCACACCAGAACCACAAUCAGAAUCACAACCAGAAUCACAAUCAGAAUCACAUCAGAAUCACAACCAGAACCACAAUCAGAAUCACAACCAGAAUCACAUCAGAAUCACAUCAGAAUCAGAACCAGAACCACAACCAGAACCACAAUCAGAAUCACAACCAGAAUCACAUCAGAAUCAGAACCAGAACCACAAUCAGAAUCACAACCAGAAUCACAUCAGAAUCAGAACCAGAACCACAAUCAGAAUCAGAACCAGAACCACAAUCAGAAUCAGAACCAGAACCACAAUCAGAACCAGAACCACAAUCAGAACCACAAUCAGAAUCAGAACCAGAACCACAAUCAGAACCACAAUCAGAAUCAGAACCAGAACCACAAUCAGAAUCACAAUCAGAAUCAGAACCACAAUCAGAACCACAAUCAGAAUCAGAACCAGAACCACAACCAGAAUCACAACCAGAACCAGAACCACAAUCAGAAUCAGAACCAGAAUCAGAAUCACAAUCAGAACCACAAUCAGAACCACAAUCACAACCAGAAUCAGAACCAGAACCACAGUCAGAAUCAGAACCAGAACCAGAACCACAAUCAGAAUCACAACCACAAUCACAACCAGAACCACAAUCAGAAUCACAACCAGAAUCAGAACCACAAUCAGAACCACAAUCGCAAUCAGAAUCACAACCAGAAUCACAAUCAGAAUCAAAACCACAAUCAGAAUCAGAAUCACAAUCAGAAUCAGAACCAGAACCAGAAUCAGAACCACAAUCAGAAUCAGAAUCAGAACCACAAUCAGAAUCAGAACCAGAACCAGAAUCAGAACCAGAAUCAGAAUCAGAACCACAAUCAGAACCAGAAUCAGAACCACAAUCAGAAUCAGAACCAGAACCACAAUCAGAAUCAGAAUCACAAUCACAAUCAGAACCAGAACCAAAAUCAGAAUCACAAUCAGAACAAGAAUCAGAACCAGAAUCAGAAUCAGAAUCAGAACCACAAUCAGAAUCAGAAUCACAACCAGAAUCACUAUCACAAUCACAAUCAGAAUCACAAUCAGUUUUAUUGA
Molecule: long non-coding RNA, 1233 nt
Filed under: Scophthalmus maximus (turbot)
Lineage: Eukaryota; Metazoa; Chordata; Actinopteri; Pleuronectiformes; Scophthalmidae
Description: lncRNA (ENSSMAG00000026717.1)
Source: RNAcentral